Lolium perenne is the source of this 754-nucleotide long non-coding RNA. RefSeq lists it as uncharacterized. Lineage: Eukaryota; Viridiplantae; Streptophyta; Magnoliopsida; Poales; Poaceae. The record is from RefSeq and is a predicted model, not a curated record.
ACACUCCCCUGAUCUCUCAACUCCUUGUUUCUUCUUGCCCAGGUCUCGCUCAUCCUGAACCCCGCCAACGACUACGGGUUAAUCAUGCCAACUGGCUCCUGAAUCCCUCCUCUCUCCUGAGCCUAUUUCGCAAAAAAAUCCCCUUCAGUUAUAGCUCCAAAUUCUCUGAUUUGCUCUCUGUUUUUUGGAUUUCAGGUUGGGGUGCUACUAGGGCUCUUCGACCUCAGCUCCAGGACAAGUCACCGGCCGCGUGGCUACAAAGGAGCGGCUCCAGCUUUGACUACAGGAUGUUUGGAUCUAGUUGCUAAUUGCGACAGAUGUGCAGAGCUUGGCGUACACGAUGAUGUUGAAAGUUCCAGUCCGGCUUUGCUUACAUAACACCAGAUAGCAGUCUGCCUGGAUUCCAAAUAUUGUUCUACAGUAUGCAGUUUUAUAAUUGUCAAGCAUCUCUUCCUCGCUGAUGCUGUGACCAUGACCAAGCAUCACGAUAUAUGGUGGCUGGCGACAAUACCUGGGAAGUGAAGUCUAGUGCUUAUUUAUGGUCUAGUGGUGUGUAGUAAUUUUAAGAAUAUUGUUGUUUCGAUUUUUUGAUCUUGUGCAACAAGGAAGUUGUAUUUGUGCGUUUUUUUUUUCUGUUUUUCCUUUCAUAGGCAUCUAGCUUACACACUCAUAUUUAAUUUGUUUACAUUUUGUGAAUCUCAGUGUAUCUAUAUUGACAGUUUCUAUGAAUGAGUAUCCAAUUAUGUUUUGUUCU